This 496-nucleotide ribosomal RNA is filed under the name uncultured bacterium. Its description in RNAcentral is "bacterial SSU rRNA". It matches the Rfam family "Bacterial small subunit ribosomal RNA", at positions 29 to 518 of the family's 1533-position model. The record is from RNAcentral.
AUGAACGCUAGCGACAGGCCUAACACAUGCAAGUCGAGGGGCAGCACAAGGAGCAAUCUGAGGUGGCGACCGGCGCACGGGUGAGUAACACGUAUGCAACCUGCCUGUAAGCGGGGAAUAACCCGUUGAAAGACGGACUAAUACCGCAUAGUACUAAAUUACUGCAUGGUAAUUUAUUUAAACAUUUAUGGCUUACAGAUGGGCAUGCGCAUGAUUAGCUAGUUGGAGAGGUAACGGCUCCCCAAGGCAACGAUCAUUAGGGGUUCUGAGAGGAAGGUCCCCCACACUGGUACUGAGACACGGACCAGACUCCUACGGGAGGCAGCAGUGAGGAAUAUUGGUCAAUGGACGAGAGUCUGAACCAGCCAAGUCGCGUGCAGGAAGAAUGUUCCCUAUGGAUUGUAAACUGCUUUUGCAGGGGAAUAAAGUGCAUCACGUGUGAUGUUUUGUAUGUACUCUGCGAAUAAGGAUCGGCUAACUCCGUGCCAGCCGCCGC